CUGCUUUCUUUACUGCUGCAUCCCCGGGAACCCUAACAGCACCUGGAAUUAAUGAGCAUGCAAUGUGUACUUGCCGAGCAGAUGUGAAUGAAUUACUUUGAAACUGACGCCAAAGGGCACCAUCAACACAGAGACAAUCUUUAGAGCAUCGUUGGACUGUGCCUAAACUGCAAAUUCUUGGAAUCACCCUGCUGGUGCUGGCCUUGUCACAAAGCACAGCCUGGGAAAGGAGCAUUCCAGAAGAGUAUGUCAGUGAACCCACCAGGGGGCACUAUGUGACCAGAAAAUAACCCCAAAACACCAGCGGUUGCAUUAAAUUCCAUUCUGUUAAUGAA
This is a long non-coding RNA of Homo sapiens (human), 335 nucleotides long. RefSeq lists it as uncharacterized. Lineage: Eukaryota; Metazoa; Chordata; Mammalia; Primates; Hominidae. The transcript has 2 exons. The record is from RefSeq and is a predicted model, not a curated record.